GUCCGCGUAGCCGCGCUGGUGCGAGAAGGCGUAGGCCGAGCGCCUAGACGACGCGCCCCGGCGAAACACGUUCUGCCGCCGCUUCCACUGCUCCUCGGCCUUCAACCGCUUGCGAUGCUUCUGGAUCUGCAGAAGGCAAACUAAAAAUCCCAAUCCCAAGCACUUGUUUGCAAGAUGGAGUUGGAGAAGAGGAGUCAUAAAAAUCAUUCUAACCAAACUUCCCAUGAGGUUUGAGGUUUGCAGGAAAAGUGCUGUUGGGAAACACUUUGGUUUCUGUGGGGGACACUCAAGAAUUAGAGGAGGACUGUAUCUCUGCAUACCUUAUCACUUUCCGAUGGCCAAAUGGUCAUUGACAAGAAGCGGACAGCAACGACAGGCAAUAAACACACUGCAACAGUCAAGAUGAUGGUCAACCAAAUGUAUGGCUGCCUCAGGGCAUUGGAAGCGGUGCCUGGAAAGAACAGAGGAUUUGCAGAUAAGCUCCAAGAGGAAUGAAGAAGAGGACCAUGGAUGUUAAGAUUCCAUGUAACAAGCUGAUGAAGAAUUUCUUGUAGUUGAAUAGUAAGUCUCUUUGUCCCACUACAUACAACCCAGGGAAUCGGAGGCUUAGUUUGUCACUCACAUCCUUAAGGAGAAAACAAAAUUAGAGUGAUAUACUGUCCAUCAGGUCAAGAAGUCAGAGAUAUGCUGCAAUCUGUAUCUCAUAAAGAAUUGUGACUUGCUGUUGAGUUCUAAGAAGACAAACUGAGUGGAAUAAAUCCUGCAAUAUUUC
Ictidomys tridecemlineatus (thirteen-lined ground squirrel) is the source of this 772-nucleotide non-coding RNA. The record is from RefSeq and is a predicted model, not a curated record. Lineage: Eukaryota; Metazoa; Chordata; Mammalia; Rodentia; Sciuridae.